This 1490-nucleotide long non-coding RNA is filed under the name Felis catus (domestic cat). RNAcentral's name for it is "lncRNA (ENSFCAG00000050393.1)". The record is from RNAcentral. Lineage: Eukaryota; Metazoa; Chordata; Mammalia; Carnivora; Felidae.
CUCUGCGCCGCGCUCGGGGGGCCUGUUUAUUACCGGGGAGGCUCUGGUUGGAAGAAGAUGCCUCCCUGGGUGGGGCUGAGGUUGCUCCCGUGUCUUCCAGAUGCUGGGUCCUCGUUCUGACAUCUCAGCCCCGGAGGACAGUUCUCCUCUUUCCGCCCCAUUACUUCUCGUACAAACGCGAACACCGUGAGCGUUCCUGCCUGAGCGCCAAGCCCAGCACCCGCAGGCACACGCGCACCGCUCCCUGAGUGCAACCAGGCCGCUGCCAGCCCCCUUCUCUGCCCUCCCUCGCCCACUCACCGCAGCAGAUUUUUCUGACUCUUCUCUGUGCUGGAUUCUCCUUCUGACAAACAGAAAUUAUAGACUCAGAGAGCGUCCUAGAUUUGGGAAGGGCCUUUGGAAGUCACCGAGGCCAGCGCUGGCGCUUACACGCAGGAGAGCGGAUGCCCAGGGCUCACGUGGGACCUGCUGGGGCACACAGCACAGCAGACACAGAGUCAGCCAUGGAAGAGAAGCAGCCUGACCCCAGGUCUACACUCCAUUCGAAUCGGUUCACAUCGUGGUCCUAAAAACACGGCCCGGAGCAGACGGAGUGACACAGAGUCCCUGGUUUCACUUUCCUGUGCGGGUGAAGUGGCCUCCAGGAGCCGUUCAGAGCAGGCAGCCACCGUCAUGUCCAGCUGCGGGCAGUGGGAGCCCCACGGGUUGGAAUCUGCCACUUUGCCUCACGUGCAGACCAUACUGGGACGCCAUGGGUGGUCCACGUGGCUUUGGACAAGAGCAAUCCCCGACUGCAUCCCCACUGCUGCUUCAGGGAUGGGAUCGGUGAGUUGGGCUCAGGACUCAAAGUCAAAACUUUAAGGACCCUUACUUAUUUUUAUGUUGCAUUUGAACCUGAAGAGGUGUGAGCUUGGAGCUUCUGGGGCCACCUUGCACAUGUAGAGCCUAAGGGUGGAGCAAACACGGAGAAGGACAAAACUAGAGACAGGGUGAGACUGGGUUCCGAUGACAUCAUCUGAGCUCCUGGAUCCAGCUAUGCCUGAAGCAGGAACAUCCUUGACUUUUCAACCAUCAUCUGAGCCAAAGCAUUCCUCCUUCCCUUCCUGCCUUCCAUUCUUUCCUUCCUUCCUACCUUCGUGUGUGUGUCACAAAAGCCUGUCACAGCAGAUGGAGUCCUAAUUUAUUCAUCUGGUAAGCACACCAUUGUCUCCAUGACCUACACGGGCUUGGGUGCGGCUCCAGUCAGACCUCCCUCCUUGGGCCAAGCAUUUCCCAGCCAUGAUUGGGAGUCCAGGGCUCCACUCCAACGCCUCCACCUUGCCCCUCUUAUUUUGUCUGGGUGGGCACGGAAGAAAGGACAGGUCUGUGCCAAGUGCAACAUUGUGAGCAGAAUGUUGGCUCAGUGGAAGGAGGGUGUUUGUUUGGUUGUUUGUUUUGGGUUUUGUUUAUAAUAUAACUUAUUGUCAAAUUGGUUUCCAUACAACACCCAG